RNAcentral lists this ribosomal RNA (496 nucleotides) under uncultured bacterium. RNAcentral's name for it is "bacterial SSU rRNA". It matches the Rfam family "Bacterial small subunit ribosomal RNA", at positions 29 to 517 of the family's 1533-position model. The record is from RNAcentral.
AACGAACGCUGGCGGCGCGCCUAAUACAUGCAAGUCGAGCGAGAAGACGUAGCAAUACGUUUGUAAAGCGGCGAACGGGUGAGGAAUACAUGGGUAACCUACCCUCGAGUGGGGAAUAACUAGCCGAAAGGUUAGCUAAUACCGCGUACGCUCCUUGGACUUCGGUUCAGGGAGGAAAGCGAUACCGUGGGUAUCGCGCUCUUGGAUGGGCUCAUGUCCUAUCAGCUUGUUGGGAGGUAACGGCUCACCAAGGCUUCGACGGGUAGCUGGUCUGAGAGGACGAUCAGCCACACUGGCACUGCGACACGGGCCAGACUCCUACGGGAGGCAGCAGUAAGGAAUAUUGCGCAAUGGGCGAAAGCCUGACGCAGCGACGCCGCGUGGGGGAUGAAGGUCUUCGGAUUGUAAACCCCUUUCGGGAGGGAAGAUGGAAUGGGGUAACCCAUUCGGACGGUACCUCCAGAAGCAGCCACGGCUAACUUCGUGCCAGCCGCCG